Molecule: ribosomal RNA, 350 nt
Filed under: uncultured bacterium
Lineage: Bacteria
Description: partial 16S ribosomal RNA
Rfam family: Bacterial small subunit ribosomal RNA
Source: RNAcentral
CCUACGGGAGGCAGCAGUCGAGAAUCAUUCACAAUGGGGGAAACCCUGAUGGUGCGACGCCGCGUGGGGGAAUGAAGGUCUUCGGAUUGUAAACCCCUGUCAUGUGGGAGCAAAUUAAAAAGAUAGUACCACAAGAGGAAGAGACGGCUAACUCUGUGCCAGCAGCCGCGGUAAUACAGAGGUCUCAAGCGUUGUUCGGAAUCACUGGGCGUAAAGCGUGCGGAGGCUGUUUCGUAAGUCGUGUGUGAAAGGCCCAGGCUCAACCCGCGGACGGCACAUGAUACAGCGAGACUAGAGUGAUGGAGGGGGAACCGGAAUGCACGGUGUAGCAGUGAAAUGCGUAGAGAUCG